CAACCUGGGGAAAGGUGUGAGGCUCAGAAAGAGAUCCCAAGGAACAGCUGUCACACGCAGAGCACAGAUUUUGGCCAGAUCAGCUCUCCGAACUGGCCUGCUGAACAGCAGAAGAACUGACGUUGGUGGAGAAAGGGAGGAAAUGGGAGAACACGGGAGAUGCAGGGAGAGGAGGGAGGAUGCAGGACAACCAAAGACCUACUUAGGGUCAUCUUCCACCACCGUGAAAAACACGGCUGUUGGAAGCAGCAGCGCUUCCCUCUGUGCCCUGAGACGCAGCUAGCCUCCGGGAGCGUGGGAACAUCCCCUGGGAAGGUACAGUCGUGGCUGCAGAUGAAAUCAACCAAGCACCCCAAAUUCAAGGAUUUAUUUUUUUUAAAAGUUUUUGUUCAUCUUUCAAAAGCAUAGAAAGAGCAAAAUACAGAAUUUAGAUCCAAAUCUUCCUAUGUAGGAUGCCUGGACUAAGGUAGGGGGGCCAGGUCAGGCAUCUAUUAAUUAAAAAUCUCACCUGGACCCUGCUAGCUUCCAAAAGGCUCUUCUGCUCAUAACUUCAUAGCACUGCAACUGAACUAUCAUUCUACCCCCACCCCUUUAUCUUCUGCAGUUCUCCCUGGGUGAUAAAAGUUUGUAAACACACUGGCAUUUUGAUGUGAUUUUUAAGUUCAUAAAAAUGUUCAAAGCGACACCAGUACUUGGCAAUACUGGAGAAACGAUACGCAGAGGGUUACACUCUCACACUGAGCAUCUGGAUAGGAACAUCCAGGAAGGUGUCGGUGCGCUAAUGUGAAAUCAGUUCAGAAGAGCCAGCACCUUCCUCAGCUGUUAGCAUUUAAAAGAGGUCGAGGCUUUCAGAGGGACCCAAAGCAAUUAGAUGCUCCAGACUCACUGAAUUUCAAUUAGAUUUGUGCACUUACUUCCUUCAGGUUCUUCUGAAAUCAAACCCAUCACUUACACCUAUAAUCAUGCUUAAGUUUUGAAGCGCCUUUCUCCUUUUGUGUGUAUGCAAGGCUUUAUUGGGGAAAAUCUUUUGUGUGGAUGAUUAACUUCAAAUGUACUUAAGUAUUUCUUGAAGUAAACACAACUUACAUACAUUU
Molecule: long non-coding RNA, 1094 nt
Organism: Tyto alba (common barn owl)
Lineage: Eukaryota; Metazoa; Chordata; Aves; Strigiformes; Tytonidae
Exons: 2
Source: RefSeq, a predicted model, not a curated record